AGUGAACGCUGGCGGUAGGCCUAACACAUGCAAGUCGAACGGCAGCACAGUAAGAGCUUGCUCUUACGGGUGGCGAGUGGCGGACGGGUGAGGAAUACAUCGGAAUCUACUUUUUCGUGGGGGAUAACGUAGGGAAACUUACGCUAAUACCGCAUACGACCUACGGGUGAAAGCAGGGGAUCUUCGUACCUUGCGCGAUUGAAUGAGCCGAUGUCGGAUUAGCUAGUUGGCGGGGUAAAGGCCCACCAAGGCGACGAUCCGUAGCUGGUCUGAGAGGAUGAUCAGCCACACUGGAACUGAGACACGGUCCAGACUCCUACGGGAGGCAGCAGUGGGGAAUAUUGGACAAUGGGCGCAAGCCUGAUCCAGACAUACCGCGUGGGUGAAGAAGGCCUUCGGGUUGUAAAGCCCUUUUGUUGGGAAAGAAAAGCAGCAGGUUAAUACCCCGCUGUUCUGACGGUACCCAAAGAAUAAGCACCGGCUAACUUCGUG
Molecule: ribosomal RNA, 492 nt
Filed under: uncultured bacterium
Lineage: Bacteria
Description: partial 16S ribosomal RNA
Rfam family: Bacterial small subunit ribosomal RNA
Source: RNAcentral